Molecule: transfer RNA, 604 nt
Filed under: Bartonella grahamii
Lineage: Bacteria; Pseudomonadati; Pseudomonadota; Alphaproteobacteria; Hyphomicrobiales; Bartonellaceae
Description: partial 16S-23S ribosomal RNA intergenic spacer
Rfam family: tRNA (bases 165-238)
Source: RNAcentral
GUUUUUUCAAAGAAAAACAUGCAUUUCAAGGCGCUAUGGAUUUCAAAGACCAUGGAUUUACUCAGAACUUAUGGGUUUUAAAAAAGGCUUUAAAAGGAAAUAACUAAAAAACUUUUCCAGUAAUUUAAGAUGAUACCGGGGAAGGUUUUCCGGUUUAUCCCGGAGGGCUUGUAGCUCAGUUGGUUAGAGCGCGCGCUUGAUAAGCGUGAGGUCGGAGGUUCAAGUCCUCCCAGGCCCACCAAUUUAUGCUCGUUUUUUGCUUAUCCAAGAGUAUAAAGCUUAAGCGUAUUAAAGCCUCUUCAAUCUUUGUUUAUUUUUAAAGAUUUUAUUUUAUCAUUCAGAGAUUGUUUGUUAAAUUUAUCCCAUUAAGCUUCCAAAGAGGCUUUGUCCCUUCAGUGGUACAGAUAAAUUUACAUGAUACAAAUCAAAACAGGACAGGUAAUUCAAGUUGAUGAAUUUGGUUAUGGUUGAUUUGAGAGAGCAUUAUUUAGGGGCCGUAGCUCAGCUGGGAGAGCACCUGCUUUGCAAGCAGGGGGUCGUCGGUUCGAUCCCGUCCGGCUCCACCAUUUGGUCAUCAUCGUGUUGUGAGAACACGGUUUAUUAA